GCCAGGGUGGCGGAGCGGUCCAACGCGCCUGCCUCGAGAGCAGGUUCCCGCAAGGGAGCAGAGGUUCGAAUCCUCUCCCUGGCG
Molecule: transfer RNA, 84 nt
Filed under: Candidatus Pacearchaeota archaeon
Lineage: Archaea; Nanobdellati
Description: tRNA-Ser
Rfam family: tRNA
About the family: Transfer RNA (tRNA) molecules are approximately 80 nucleotides in length. Their secondary structure includes four short double-helical elements and three loops (D, anti-codon, and T loops). Further hydrogen bonds mediate the characteristic L-shaped molecular structure. tRNAs have two regions of fundamental functional importance: the anti-codon, which is responsible for specific mRNA codon recognition, and the 3' end, to which the tRNAs corresponding amino acid is attached (by aminoacyl-tRNA synthetases). tRNAs cope with the degeneracy of the genetic code in two manners: having more than one tRNA (with a specific anti-codon) for a particular amino acid; and 'wobble' base-pairing, i.e. permitting non-standard base-pairing at the 3rd anti-codon position.
Source: RNAcentral